GUUGAGUGAGCACUGCAGCAGAGCCUCUUGCCAGCCCAAACCAGUGAGAUUGUGGAAGCGGGUGAGGGCUGUUGCAGAGCAUUUUGCUGUGAGGUUUGGCCUGAAUAUGUGAGUGGCUUCAUCAGUGGUGGGAUGAAGGAGGUGAGUGACAGCAAGCCAGGAGUGUGAGCCAUCCAACUUGGUGCCUAGCUGUGGAGGCUCCUGGCCUAGCAGCCCCUCAGCUCUUCCUGCUUAAUGAUUAUAUAAUGGCCUGUGUUGAAAAGGACCUCAAAGAUAAUCUGCUUUCAACUCCUUGACCAGGCUGCCUUGAAUGCCUCCAGAACCUCUCUGGGCAGGCUGUUGCCACCCUCCGAGUGAAAAGCUUCUUCCUAGGUUCCUGGUGGUAUGACUCUGGUGCCUGGUGAGUUGUCUCUGUUUGUCCCCAACCUGCAUGUACUACCCCUGGAAUGGAGUUUAUGAUUGGGGCUGGGUGCCAGGGGACAAAAGCCCCUUCUGCUUGGGGGUGACAGUGUGUGGCAUUCCUGGCUCCUCCCUUGUGGUGAGGCUUGAUGGUGCUUUUCUUUCAGCCCUGAAGGUGUGUGGCAGGUCCUCUCCUGGAGGAACGGAAUUGAUGGAGUGUGAGGUUUCCUUGCAAAGAUGGUUUCAAUCAAAGGCAGAAAUGCUCUGCAUUACAGGUAGGAGCUAGUAUGCCUAAGAAUAUCUGUACUAAAAUGGAACGCCCAGACUUAGCUAGCUGAAGUUCUUGUGGUGAAGUGGACACCUGUCGCAACGUGCACGCCGAAGUCACCCGCUGUACCAAUAUGGUUAUUGCAUAGUGCUUAUUUAUUGUAAUUCGACUACAACAUUUAUAGAGCAUCAGGUAGGUGUCGCGCGCUACAACACUGUUAAUUGGACAGUGGAUAUCAUCACAUAGGCAUUCUUGCAGUUAGAUAAUGGUUAGCAGUCCCAUAGAGCACAACCUGGAGGUGUAGAUGUUUGACCUUGCAACACAGCAGCUGUUCCUCGUCUCAGGCCUCCAAGGACACUCCAGGGAUUACUCGAGCGUGUUCUAAUAAAUAUGCCCACUGUCCAUCA
This 1074-nucleotide long non-coding RNA is filed under the name Numida meleagris (helmeted guineafowl). RNAcentral's name for it is "lncRNA (ENSNMEG00000000168.1)". Lineage: Eukaryota; Metazoa; Chordata; Aves; Galliformes; Numididae. The record is from RNAcentral.